This 949-nucleotide unclassified non-coding RNA is filed under the name Hevea brasiliensis (rubber tree). Lineage: Eukaryota; Viridiplantae; Streptophyta; Magnoliopsida; Malpighiales; Euphorbiaceae. The record is from RNAcentral.
UGAAAAUUUAAUGCAAUUGAAUUCCAUGCAUCCAGAAUCACCAGCUGAUUCUAGGGGGAAACAGAGUGGAGAAGGAGCCAAAAACGACUCCAGUGAAUGUUAUCCUGUGGCUUCUUCAAGUAAAACUGUUAAAUCUGAAGCUCUCACAGUUCACAUGCACGAGGAACUGAGUGGUGAACAUGAGCUCAAGAAGAAAAAGAAAGAUGUAAUGAAGGCUGAGGAGAGUGAGGAAGAGAAAUCAAUUAAGAGUGAAAGAAAUGAAUCAGGAUUGACAGGACUUAUUUGCAACAGGAAGGGCAAAUUGCCAAUCUUACAUCAAACCAGAAUCUUGAGGGAAGGAAAAUUUGAAAGUGAAAAAAGAAACAGCAGUGAACCAAGUUGCUCCUCAUCCAGCAAAGCGACCGAAACGAGGGAGGAAGGAAGAAAAGAAGUGGUGACUCGGAAGAAUUCUUGCUUCUUUGAAGCUGUGUCAAAAGUAACAAACUGCCAAACCAGUGAAUUAAUUGAUAAGGUUGUUAGUAAACUGGACAAAAUCUCGGAUGGUGGUAUAUUGAUGAAGAUUAGUCUGGAUAAACCAUUACUGGAGUCAGAGAUUCACAGAAUUUGCUUGGUAAUGGACUGGUUCGUGUGCUUGCAUAUGGGUUCUGAAGUUAAGAACUUUAAUUUCUCUCCAGAUAAGCAUGUGAUGCAUCUAGGUGGAAGACCGGGACACAUCUUCAAUUUGGAAAGCAAAAUUGAGGCCUGUGAAUCCAUUAAUGAGAGCAUGUCAAAAAUAUAUCAAGGGGUGUAUGGCUUUGAUAAACCCACCAUGAUUAAAAAGAGAGUCAAUUCUAACAGGGGCUUGCAGUUGUUGAGGAGUUUCAAAAGCAUGAAUUGUGGAGCUUUGAUUGAUCGUCAGAAAGUAAAUGAAGGGAGAUUGAUCAACCGAAGCUUAAUUGAUUUACUCAUG